This 498-nucleotide ribosomal RNA is filed under the name uncultured bacterium. Its description in RNAcentral is "partial 16S ribosomal RNA". It matches the Rfam family "Bacterial small subunit ribosomal RNA", at positions 28 to 507 of the family's 1533-position model. The record is from RNAcentral.
GACGAACGCUGGCGGCGUGCCUAAUACAUGCCAGUCGAGCGGACGAUUCGAAUGCUUGCUUUUGAAUCGUUAGCGGCGGACGGGUGAGUAACACGUGGGCAACCUGCCCUGUAGACGGGGAUAACACCGAGAAAUCGGUGCUAAUACCGGAUAACAUGAAAUAUCGCAUGACGCUUCGUUGAAAGGCGGCUCAAGCGUCCGCUACAGGUUGAGCCCGCGGCGCAUUAGCUAGUUGGUGAGGUAACGGCUCACCAAGGCGACGAUGCGUAGCCGACCUGAGAGGGUGAUCGGCCACACUGGGACUGAGACACGGCCCAGACUCCUACGGGAGGCAGCAGUAGGGAAUCUUCCGCAAUGGACGAAAGUCUGACGGAGCAACGCCGCGUGAGCGAAGAAGGUCUUCGGGUCGUAAAGCUCUGUUGUUAGGGAAGAACAAGUAACGUAGUAACUGACGUUACUAUGACGGUACCUAACGAGAAAGCCACGGCUAACUACGUG